This 497-nucleotide ribosomal RNA is filed under the name uncultured bacterium. RNAcentral's name for it is "partial 16S ribosomal RNA". It matches the Rfam family "Bacterial small subunit ribosomal RNA", at positions 28 to 507 of the family's 1533-position model. The record is from RNAcentral.
GAUGAACGCUGGCGGCGUGCCUAAUACAUGCAAGUCGAGCGAACGGACGAGAAGCUUGCUUCUCUGAUGUUAGCGGCGGACGGGUGAGUAACACGUGGAUAACCUACCUAUAAGACUGGGAUAACUUCGGGAAACCGUAGCUAAUACCGGAUAAUAUUUUGAACCGCAUGGUUCAAAAGUGAAAGACGGUCUUGCUGUCACUUAUAGAUGGAUCCGCGCUGCAUUAGCUAGUUGGUAAGGUAACGGCUUACCAAGGCAACGAUGCAUAGCCGACCUGAGAGGGUGAUCGGCCACACUGGAACUGAGACACGGUCCAGACUCCUACGGGAGGCAGCAGUAGGGAAUCUUCCGCAAUGGGCGAAAGCCUGACGGAGCAACGCCGCGUGAGUGAUGAAGGUCUUCAGAUCGUAAAACUCUGUUAUUAGGGAAGAACAUAUGUGUAAGUAACUGCGCACAUCUUGACGGUACCUAAUCAGAAAGCCACGGCUAACUACGUG